GACGAACGCUGGCGGCGUGCUUAACACAUGCAAGUCGAACGGAAAGGCCCCCUUGUGGGGUACUCGAGUGGCGAACGGGUGAGUAACACGUGAGUAACCUACCCUUGACUUUGGGAUAACUUCAGGAAACUGGGGCUAAUACCGGAUAGGAGCUCCUGCUGCAUGGUGGGGGUUGGAAAGUUUCGGCGGUUGGGGUUGGACUCGCGGCUUAUCAGCUUGUUGGUGGGGUAGUGGCUCACCAAGGCUUUGACGGGUAGCCGGCCUGAGAGGGUGACCGGCCACAUUGGGACUGAGAUACGGCCCAGACUCCUACGGGAGGCAGCAGUGGGGAAUAUUGCACAAUGGGCGGAAGCCUGAUGCAGCAACGCCGCGUGCGGGAUGACGGCCUUCGGGUUGUAAACCGCUUUCGCCUGUGACGAAGCGUGAGUGACGGUAAUGGGUAAAGAAGCACCGGCUAACUACGUG
RNAcentral lists this ribosomal RNA (465 nucleotides) under uncultured bacterium. RNAcentral's name for it is "partial 16S ribosomal RNA". It matches the Rfam family "Bacterial small subunit ribosomal RNA", at positions 28 to 507 of the family's 1533-position model. The record is from RNAcentral.